This 232-nucleotide long non-coding RNA is filed under the name Mytilus galloprovincialis (Mediterranean mussel). The record is from RNAcentral. Lineage: Eukaryota; Metazoa; Mollusca; Bivalvia; Mytilida; Mytilidae.
UCGGUGAUGAGAGGAAAUCUUUAUUGUGAUAUCUAAGAAUGGUAACUCCUUUUUACUUUUUUUACACUUUCAAUUAGAUAGAUGGAUUUAGGGAAAUCAGAAUCUGGUGGAAUUAAAUAAAUCAGUUUUAGAUUUUGUCCGUAAGAUGAAGUAGUGGUCUCGAAAUCUUUUCCAUUUUUCGAUUACGUAUUCCUUUAAAUCCUAAUCAAAACUGUCACCUAUUUCAGUGUAC